CUACGGGGCGCUCCAGUGGGGAAUCUUAGACAAUGGGGGAAACCCUGAUCUAGCCAUGCCGCGUGAGUGAUGAAGGCCUUAGGGUCGUAAAGCUCUUUCGCCAGGGAUGAUAAUGACAGUACCUGGUAAAGAAACCCCGGCUAACUCCGUGCCAGCAGCCGCGGUAAUACGGAGGGGGUUAGCGUUGUUCGGAAUUACUGGGCGUAAAGCGCGCGUAGGCGGAUUAGAAAGUUGGGGGUGAAAUCCCGGGGCUCAACCCCGGAACUGCCUCCAAAACUACUAGUCUAGAGUUCGAGAGAGGUGAGUGGAAUUCCGAGUGUAGAGGUGAAAUUCGUAGAUAUUCGGAGGAACACCAGUGGCGAAGGCGGCUCACUGGCUCGAUACUGACGCUGAGGUGCGAAAGUGUGGGGAGCAAACAGGAUUAGAUACCCGAGUAGUC
RNAcentral lists this ribosomal RNA (439 nucleotides) under uncultured bacterium. RNAcentral's name for it is "partial 16S ribosomal RNA". It matches the Rfam family "Bacterial small subunit ribosomal RNA", at positions 339 to 795 of the family's 1533-position model. The record is from RNAcentral.